Molecule: ribosomal RNA, 530 nt
Filed under: uncultured bacterium
Lineage: Bacteria
Description: bacterial SSU rRNA
Rfam family: Bacterial small subunit ribosomal RNA
Source: RNAcentral
CUUGACAUCCAGCGAACUUGGCAGAGAUGCCUUGGUGCCUUCGGGAACGCUGAGACGGGUGCUGCAUGGCUGUCGUCAGCUCGUGUUGUGAAAUGUUGGGUUAAGUCCCGNAACGAGCGCAACCCUUUAUCCUUUGUUGCCAGCGAUUCGGUCGGGAACUCAAAGGAGACUGCCGGUGAUAAACCGGAGGAAGGUGGGGAUGACGUCAAGUCAUCAUGGCCCUUACGAGUAGGGCUACACACGUGCUACAAUGGCGCAUACAAAGAGAAGCGACCUCGCGAGAGCAAGCGGACCUCAUAAAGUGCGUCGUAGUCCGGAUCGGAGUCUGCAACUCGACUCCGUGAAGUCGGAAUCGCUAGUAAUCGUGGAUCAGAAUGCCACGGUGAAUACGUUCCCGGGCCUUGUACACACCGCCCGUCACACCAUGGGAGUGGGUUGCAAAAGAAGUAGGUAGCUUAACCUCCGGGAGGGCGCUUACCACUUUGUGAUUCAUGACUGGGGUGAAGUCGUAACAAGGUAGGCGUAGCGAG